UACAGAGGGUGCGAGCGUUAAUCGGAAUUACUGGGCGUAAAGCGUGCGUAGACGGCUAUCUAAGUCGGGUGUGAAAGCCCCGGGCUCAACCUGGGAAUUGCAUUCGAGACUGAAUAGCUAGGGUACGGUAGAGGGAAGCGGAAUUUCCGGUGUAGCGGUGAAAUGCGUAGAUAUCUGGAGGAACACCGGUGGCGAAGGCGGCAUCCUGGACCGGCAUUGACGCUGAGGCGCGAAAGCCAGGGGAGCAAACGGG
Molecule: ribosomal RNA, 253 nt
Filed under: uncultured bacterium
Lineage: Bacteria
Description: partial 16S ribosomal RNA
Rfam family: Bacterial small subunit ribosomal RNA
Source: RNAcentral